AUGCACGCUGGCGGCGUGCCUAAUACAUGCCAGUCGAGCGAACAGACGAGGAGCUUGCUCCUCUGACGUUAGCGGCGGACGGGUGAGUAACACGUGGAUAACCUACCUAUAAGACUGGGAUAACUUCGGGAAACCGGAGCUAAUACCGGAUAAUAUAUUGAGCCGCAUGGUUCAAUAGUGAAAGACGGUUUUGCUGUCACUUAUAGAUGGAUCCGCGCCGCAUUAGCUAGUUGGUAAGGUAACGGCUUACCAAGGCGACGACGCGUAGCCGACCUGAGAGGGUGAUCGGCCACACUGGAACUGAGACACGGUCCAGACUCCUACGGGAGGCAGCAGUAGGGAAUCUUCCGCAAUGGGCGAAAGCCUGACGGAGCAACGCCGCGUGAGUGAUGAAGGUCUUCGGAUCGUAAAACUCUGUUAUUAGGGAAGAACAAAUGUGUAAGUAACUAUGCACGUCUUGACGGUACCUAAUCAGAAAGCCACGGCUAACUACGUG
RNAcentral lists this ribosomal RNA (496 nucleotides) under uncultured bacterium. Its description in RNAcentral is "partial 16S ribosomal RNA". It matches the Rfam family "Bacterial small subunit ribosomal RNA", at positions 29 to 507 of the family's 1533-position model. The record is from RNAcentral.